CAGUCGCCGCGGGAAUACGUAGGUGGCAAGCGUUAUCCGGAAUUAUUGGGCGUAAAGCGCGCGUAGGCGGUUUUUUAAGUCUGAUGUGAAAGCCCACGGCUCAACCGUGGAGGGUCAUUGGAAACUGGAAAACUUGAGUGCAGAAGAGGAAAGUGGAAUUCCAUGUGUAGCGGUGAAAUGCGCAGAGAUAUGGAGGAACACCAGUGGCGAAGGCGACUUUCUGGUCUGUAACUGACGCUGAUGUGCGAAAGCGUGGGGAUCAAACAGGAUUAGAUACCCGGGUAGUCCCUGUCUCUUAUAC
RNAcentral lists this ribosomal RNA (301 nucleotides) under uncultured bacterium. RNAcentral describes it as "partial 16S ribosomal RNA". It matches the Rfam family "Bacterial small subunit ribosomal RNA", at positions 509 to 807 of the family's 1533-position model. The record is from RNAcentral.